Molecule: ribosomal RNA, 450 nt
Filed under: uncultured bacterium
Lineage: Bacteria
Description: partial 16S ribosomal RNA
Rfam family: Bacterial small subunit ribosomal RNA
Source: RNAcentral
CCUACGGGGGGCUGCAGUAGGGAAUAUUGGACAAUGGGCGCAAGCCUGAUCCAGCCAUGCCGCGUGAGUGAAGAAGGCCCUCGGGUUGUAAAGCUCUUUUGUCCGGAAAGAAAAGCAUUCGGUUAAUACCCGGGUGUUCUGACGGUACCGGAAGAAUAAGCACCGGCUAACUUCGUGCCAGCAGCCGCGGUAAUACGAAGGGUGCAAGCGUUGCGUGGAAUUACUGGGGGUGAUGCGUUAAGUGGGGGUUGAAAGCCCUGGGCUCAACCUGGGAAUUGCAUUGGAUACUGGCAAGCUAGAGUGCGGCAGAGGGUAGUGGAAUUCCUGGUGUAGCAGUGAAAUGCGUAGAGAUCAGGAGGAACAUCCGUGGCGAAGGCGACUGCCUGGGCCAGCACUGACACUGAGGCACGAAAGCGUGGGGAGCAAACAGGAUUAGAUACCCGGGUAGUC